This 2902-nucleotide ribosomal RNA is filed under the name human gut metagenome. Its description in RNAcentral is "bacterial LSU rRNA". It matches the Rfam family "Bacterial large subunit ribosomal RNA". The record is from RNAcentral.
UUAAGCGACUAAGCGUACACGGUGGAUGCCCUGGCAGUCAGAGGCGAUGAAGGACGUGCUAAUCUGCGAAAAGCGUCGGUAAGGUGAUAUGAACCGUUAUAGCCGGCGAUGUCCGAAUGGGGAAACCCAGUGCAAUUCGUUGCACUAUCGUUAACUGAAUACAUAGGUUAACGAGGCGAACCGGGGGAACUGAAACAUCUAAGUACCCCGAGGAAAAGAAAUCAACCGAGAUUCCCCCAGUAGCGGCGAGCGAACGGGGAGCAGCCCGGAGUCUGAAUCAGCUUGUGUGUUAGUGGAAGCGUCUGGAAAGUCGCAGGGUACAGGGUGAUACUCCCGUACACUAAAACGCACAGGUUGUGAACUCGAAGAGUAGGGCGGGACACGUGGUAUCCUGUCUGAAUAUGGGGGGACCAUCCUCCAAGGCUAAAUACUCCUGACUGACCGAUAGUGAACCAGUACCGUGAGGGAAAGGCGAAAAGAACCCCGGCGAGGGGAGUGAAAAAGAACCUGAAACCGUGUACGUACAAGCAGUGGGAGCCUCUUAAUGGGGUGACUGCGUACCUUUUGUAUAAUGGGUCAGCGACUUAUAUUCUGUAGCAAGGUUAACCGAAUAGGGGAGCCGAAGGGAAACCGAGUCUUAACUGGGCGUUAAGUUGCAGGGUAUAGACCCGAAACCCGGUGAUCUAGCCAUGGGCAGGUUGAAGGUUGGGUAACACUAACUGGAGGACCGAACCGACUAAUGUUGAAAAAUUAGCGGAUGACUUGUGGCUGGGGGUGAAAGGCCAAUCAAACCGGGAGAUAGCUGGUUCUCCCCGAAAGCUAUUUAGGUAGCGCCUCGUGAAUUCAUCUCCGGGGGUAGAGCACUGUUUCGGCAAGGGGGUCAUCCCGACUUACCAACCCGAUGCAAACUGCGAAUACCGGAGAAUGUUAUCACGGGAGACACACGGCGGGUGCUAACGUCCGUCGUGAAGAGGGAAACAACCCAGACCGCCAGCUAAGGUCCCAAAGUCAUGGUUAAGUGGGAAACGAUGUGGGAAGGCCCAGACAGCCAGGAUGUUGGCUUAGAAGCAGCCAUCAUUUAAAGAAAGCGUAAUAGCUCACUGGUCGAGUCGGCCUGCGCGGAAGAUGUAACGGGGCUAAACCAUGCACCGAAGCUGCGGCAGCGACACUAUGUGUUGUUGGGUAGGGGAGCGUUCUGUAAGCCUGUGAAGGUGUACUGUGAGGUAUGCUGGAGGUAUCAGAAGUGCGAAUGCUGACAUAAGUAACGAUAAAGCGGGUGAAAAGCCCGCUCGCCGGAAGACCAAGGGUUCCUGUCCAACGUUAAUCGGGGCAGGGUGAGUCGACCCCUAAGGCGAGGCCGAAAGGCGUAGUCGAUGGGAAACAGGUUAAUAUUCCUGUACUUGGUGUUACUGCGAAGGGGGGACGGAGAAGGCUAUGUUGGCCGGGCGACGGUUGUCCCGGUUUAAGCGUGUAGGCUGGUUUUCCAGGCAAAUCCGGAAAAUCAAGGCUGAGGCGUGAUGACGAGGCACUACGGUGCUGAAGCAACAAAUGCCCUGCUUCCAGGAAAAGCCUCUAAGCAUCAGGUAACAUCAAAUCGUACCCCAAACCGACACAGGUGGUCAGGUAGAGAAUACCAAGGCGCUUGAGAGAACUCGGGUGAAGGAACUAGGCAAAAUGGUGCCGUAACUUCGGGAGAAGGCACGCUGAUAUGUAGGUGAAGUCCCUCGCGGAUGGAGCUGAAAUCAGUCGAAGAUACCAGCUGGCUGCAACUGUUUAUUAAAAACACAGCACUGUGCAAACACGAAAGUGGACGUAUACGGUGUGACGCCUGCCCGGUGCCGGAAGGUUAAUUGAUGGGGUUAGCGGUAACGCGAAGCUCUUGAUCGAAGCCCCGGUAAACGGCGGCCGUAACUAUAACGGUCCUAAGGUAGCGAAAUUCCUUGUCGGGUAAGUUCCGACCUGCACGAAUGGCGUAAUGAUGGCCAGGCUGUCUCCACCCGAGACUCAGUGAAAUUGAACUCGCUGUGAAGAUGCAGUGUACCCGCGGCAAGACGGAAAGACCCCGUGAACCUUUACUAUAGCUUGACACUGAACAUUGAGCCUUGAUGUGUAGGAUAGGUGGGAGGCUUUGAAGUGUGGACGCCAGUCUGCAUGGAGCCGGCCUUGAAAUACCACCCUUUAAUGUUUGAUGUUCUAACGUUGGCCCCUGAUCGGGGUUGCGGACAGUGUCUGGUGGGUAGUUUGACUGGGGCGGUCUCCUCCUAAAGAGUAACGGAGGAGCACGAAGGUUGGCUAAUCCUGGUCGGACAUCAGGAGGUUAGUGCAAUGGCAUAAGCCAGCUUGACUGCGAGCGUGACGGCGCGAGCAGGUGCGAAAGCAGGUCAUAGUGAUCCGGUGGUUCUGAAUGGAAGGGCCAUCGCUCAACGGAUAAAAGGUACUCCGGGGAUAACAGGCUGAUACCGCCCAAGAGUUCAUAUCGACGGCGGUGUUUGGCACCUCGAUGUCGGCUCAUCACAUCCUGGGGCUGAAGUAGGUCCCAAGGGUAUGGCUGUUCGCCAUUUAAAGUGGUACGCGAGCUGGGUUUAGAACGUCGUGAGACAGUUCGGUCCCUAUCUGCCGUGGGCGCUGGAGAACUGAGGGGGGCUGCUCCUAGUACGAGAGGACCGGAGUGGACGCAUCACUGGUGUUCGGGUUGUCAUGCCAAUGGCACUGCCCGGUAGCUAAAUGCGGAAGAGAUAAGUGCUGAAAGCAUCUAAGCACGAAACUUGCCCCGAGAUGAGUUCUCCCUGACUCUUUAAGGGUCCUGAAGGAACGUUGAAGACGACGACGUUGAUAGGCCGGGUGUGUAAGCGCAGCGAUGCGUUGAGCUAACCGGUACUAAUGAACCGUGAGGCUUAACCUU